This is a non-coding RNA of Talaromyces proteolyticus, 84 nucleotides long. Lineage: Eukaryota; Fungi; Ascomycota; Eurotiomycetes; Eurotiales; Trichocomaceae. The record is from the annotation of a RefSeq genome assembly.
GCGCCCAUGGUCUAGUGGUAUGAUGUGUCACUAGUAAAUUACUAGGUAAUGACAAGGUGAAGAGUUCGAUUCUCUUUGGGCGCA